AAGUCUUUGGCUGUUCCAAGGAACGUACAAGGGCAGGUUAUGACUGUAAAUGUUUUGUGUUCUCUGUGGGAGGUGUGGUUUUGGGCUUGAGGGUGGGCAGGCAUUUUCAUCGUUUAAACCAGGUGUACCCAGGCAAGAGACUGUUAGCAAAGGAAUGCUUGUGUGUGUAUACCUGUGUAUAUGCCUCUGUGUGUGUGUGUGCGUGUGUGCAUACGCACCUGUAUGUUGGGGCUGAAGGUGGUUAGGAUUAGUGGUAGGUGGGGGUAUAAAUGAUACAGAAAUGUUUAAAAGUCUUAUGUGUGCAAUGGAUGAAGAAUGGGGAGGAGAGAAAGCUUCCAGCCCAGGAGCAGAAGAAAAUUCUCCUCUGCAGCAAAAGCCACAGAGACCCUGUCCAAAGACAAGGCACCGUCUAACAGCAGUUUUGACUUUUGUCAAAUAUCAGCUCUUCCGGGUGGGAGACGACUGGUAUUUUCUCUUCAUCCUUGGAGUGUUGAUGGCUCUUAUUAGUUUUGCGAUGGACUGCACAGUGGUCAAACUUUUCAAAGCCCACCGGUGGCUCUACGAGCAGCUAGAUGGCAACAAUCUUUUGCAGUACGUGUCUUGGAUUGUGUACCCUGUUGCCAUGACAACGUUCUCCACCGGUUUCUCUCAGUGCUUGUCGCCACAGUCAGGAGGUUCGGGGAUUCCGGAGCUGAAGACAAUCCUGACCGGAGUCCUUCUGGAGGAGUACCUGACCAUGAAAACCUUUACAGCAAAAGUAGUUGGUCUGAUAUGCUCCCUGGCAGCAGGGAGUACAAUCUUUUUAGGGAAAGUGGGGCCCUUUGUACACAUAUGCAGCAUGAUUGCUACUUACUUGGGAAGGAUCCGAACGACAGUCACCAGGGAUUAUGAGAAUACAAGCAAGAGGUACGAGAUGCUGGUGGCGGCAGCAGCUGUCGGGGUUGCCAGUUGCUUUGGCGCGCCCAUCAGCGGUGUUCUGUUCAGUGUGGAAGUGAUGUCUUCCCACUUUGCAGUGCGAAACUAUUGGAGGGGAUUCUUUGCAGCCACAUGCGGUGCAUUCAUGUUCCGACUGCUUUCAGUGUUCAACAACGAACAAGAAACCAUAAUUGCUCUUUUCAAGACAAAGUUUCAAGUUGACUUCCCGUUUGAUUUACCAGAAACUUUAAUCUUUAUCAUCCUUGGAAUCAUCUGUGGGAUCCUGAGCUGCGUCUACCUCUACUGCCAGCGCCGGCUGCUGCGUUAUGUCAAGGGGAACGCUUUCAUCCAGAACUUCAUGGCAACUGAGAAAACUAUAUAUUCUGGAGUUAUGACCUUAUUCUUGGCAUCCAUUACCUUCCCUGCUGGACUGGGGCAGUUCAUGGCAUCCAGGCUCAGCAUGAAGGAACUUCUCUCCUCGCUCUUCGAUCAUCGGCCGUGGGGAGUGCUUUCCCAGAACACAACACUUAACAUUCACACAAGAGUGGAUCCUGACAACCUCUGGAUUGACUGGUGUCACCCGACCUUCACUUUCUACGGCACCUUGCUCUUCUUCUUAUUCAUGAAGUUUUGGAUGUUGAUUCUUGCCACCACCAUGCCAAUGCCAGCUGGAUACUUCAUGCCCGUACUUAUAUAUGGUGCCGUUAUCGGUCGAACUGUGGGAGAACUGAUGGCUUCUAUAUUUCCUAAUGGCAUCAAGUCGGAAGGUGUAUUGAACCCAAUAAUCCCGGGGGGAUAUGCCCUUGCAGGAGCAGCAGCAUUCUCUGGAGCCGUGACCCAUACUUUGUCCACAGCGCUACUGGUGUUCGAGCUCACUGGCCAGAUAGCUCAUGUUCUGCCUGUUUUACUGGCUGUACUUGUGGCAAACGCCAUCGCACAGAAAUUGCAACCUUCGUUCUACGAUGGAACCAUCAUUGUGAAGAAGCUGCCGUAUUUACCCAGAAUACGAAGCACUGAUGUUGGCUCUUACAGUGUGACGGUGGAACAGUUCAUGAACACCAAGUUCAAGUGUGUGGAUCCAAGCAGCAGCUGCAGAGACAUUUUGCAAGUGAUAACCUCCAGCUCCAAUGCCGUAUAUCCUGUAGUUGAGAAUGCAGAGUCCAUGGUGCUCGUGGGAUCCGUUCAAAGGAGUGAACUUACCAAUUUUCUUCAGACUCAAGCAGAACAGGAAAGCCAUGAAGAAAAUUUGCCACUGAAGGAAGUGAAUGGAAACCCUAAGGGAAAAUGGCAUAUUGAUCCGAUAACCUUCCAACUCUCUCCAAGUACAUCACUACAUCAGGCCCAUAAACUGUUUGAACUUCUUGUCCUUCAACACACGUUUGUCAUUUCGGCAGGCAGGGUUGUUGGCUUUGUAACCAGAGAUGAGCUAAAGAAAGUGAUUGAAGACCUGGCAAAUGGGCGCAUCCCAGUCAAGUCGUAGUUACCGCCGAAGGGAAGAAACAUGUGCUAUUUUUUCAGGCCAUCCUGCAAUCUUGUGCUGACAUUAUUUUAACAAGACGUUCCGUGCAGUACACAGAUGUUCACUACUGGUAAACACCCAAAGGUCGUGUGUCCUCACAAAUACACAAUUACAUUCCAAAACAUUUAAAUAUACACUGAUUCCUACAACAAAAUGAGUUGUGAACCAUCACUAAUAUAAAAUAUUUUAAAAAUUAAAUGAUAAGAAUUAGGCAAGUUGCCUAAUUAGUUUUUUUGGUGGGGGGGGGGAACUAUAAUAAUUUAAUUUUAACAUUCAGUAUGAAAAUUUCUUGUUUUCUAAGAAAUUUGCUUUACAUAAGGAAAGGUGAAGUUAGAACUGAUGUCAAAAGCAAAUUAUGGUCUACCCCUGCCCAGGGUCUGCUGAACUGUUAUCACUUAAACCCAAGUUAGUCCAUCCUUCAGAUUGGCAGAUGGUAAGACACCUGACCAGGGCUGAUUACCCUCAUUGUGCCUUUCAUGUUAUGUCCGUCUGUGUUCAAAUUGGGAUUGUACAAUGCAAGAUUCUAGUUCACAAUCAUCUGUCAGUCCACUCCUUGUUGAACUAGUGUGAUUUUAUACUGUCAUCUCCUUUGUUUCCUAACUCCUAGUUUCUCAGUAACUGUGUUUGAAACAUCAUUCAGCCCUUCUGAGGCACCUGUAGCUCCAGUCACUCGCUUGUGCCUGACGUUAAUGGCUCUAUCACUGGUGGCUCUGCAUUCAGUUUCCAAGCUUUCACUCACCCGACCAUUUCCUUACAAAUAUUUGGCCUGAAAGUACGUUUCUGAAAACCCUGAGACAUUCUUGCUGCAAUAGUGGUUGGACAUCGAUUAAAUGGAGGGGCCAUAGUUCCCUGAGGGAGGCAACACCAGUAGCUAGGUGCUGAAGAAGACGUAUUGCAUUCUUGUCUUCCUAGGUCAGGGCAUAUAAAAGUUGGAGCAUUUGUUGCAACUUGCAUUGGAGUAUUGCGUCGACUUACGGUCAUAUUACAGGAAGGAUAUGGUUACAUCGGAGAGAGUGCAGAGGAGAUUUGCCAGGAUGUUGCCUGGAAUGGAGGACUCUAGUUAUGGGAAGAGAUUGGAUGGGUUGGGCUUGGCCCUGGAUUAAAGGAGACUGAGGAAAGAACUGAUAGAGGUAUAUAAACAAUGAGAGGCACAGACAGGGUAUAUAGUCAGAUUAACGCGCACAAGAUGCUGGAGAAACUCAGCAGGCCAGGCAGCUUCUAAGGAAAGGAAUAAACAGUCAACGUUUCAGGCCGACAUCCUUCAUCAGGACCGGAAAGAGGGAAGAGGGAGCCAGAAUAAGGGCGGGAAGGAGCACGAGCCAGAAGGUGAAAGGUGAAGCGAGGUGGAUGGGAGGGGGAGGAAGCUGGGAGGUGAUUGGUGGAAAAGGUAAAGGGCUGAAGAAGAAGCAAUCCGAUAGGAGAGUGGACCAUGGGAGAAAGGUAAAGAAGGAGGGACAUCAGGGAGAGGUGAUGGGCAGUUGACGAGAAAAGAAGAGGCAAGUGGAAAAGCGGGCAGUCGUUCACCUCCCGGCAGUUGCAACCCCCAUCAGUCUAACAAGUGUUUCCUUGCUGUUAUUACAAACGGAGCAAGCCCCACGCACUUUCGGAGAGUGAUCUCUGUCAUCAGCAGACGGUGCUACCUUUCUGCCUGAACCCACAACAGAACGCACAGCCUGUGCGUUUUCAGAUGUGACAUUCCAGCUGCCUCUUCCAAACCAUCCCACCUUUUCCCCAAAGCGUUCACAUCUUAGAUUCCACGUACAUUCCACACGACAAAGACAAAAUAGUAUCACGGCUGCCUCUGAGACAUUGACCACAUGUCCUCGUGACAAUGUUUUAUGCAUUGCGUGACCGGGAGGAAUAACACAUCAUUCAAAGAGCUAUUGGAUGAAUAAUACCUGAGGGGGAAAAGUGCAUCUAAAAACUGAAAAGAAGAACAGCAACAUAAACCUUUUCUUUUUUAAUACUUCACCAGAGGGCUGGGCCAAGUUUAGAUAGAGCUGUAAUGUUAAGAAUAAGACAGGCGAUAAAUCCUUAUCACCAAAGUGGGGUGCUCUGUAUCACCACAGUGUUAUACUCGAGCAAAGCGAGGACAUUUUCUAGUUUUC
Molecule: RNA transcript, 4542 nt
Organism: Hypanus sabinus (Atlantic stingray)
Lineage: Eukaryota; Metazoa; Chordata; Chondrichthyes; Myliobatiformes; Dasyatidae
Gene: clcnk
Gene name: chloride channel K
Exons: 20
Source: RefSeq, a predicted model, not a curated record